UACGGAGGGGGCUAGCGUUGUUCGGAAUUACUGGGCGUAAAGCGCACGUAGGCGGCUUUGUAAGUUAGAGGUGAAAGCCCGGGGCUCAACUCCGGAAUUGCCUUUAAGACUGCAUCGCUAGAAUUGUGGAGAGGUAAGUGGAAUUCCGAGUGUAGAGGUGAAAUUCGUAGAUAUUCGCAAGAACACCAGUGGCGAAGGCGGCUCACUGGCCCGGUACUGACGCUCAGGCGCGACAGCGUGGGGAUCAAACAGG
This 253-nucleotide ribosomal RNA is filed under the name uncultured bacterium. RNAcentral describes it as "partial 16S ribosomal RNA". It matches the Rfam family "Bacterial small subunit ribosomal RNA", at positions 524 to 776 of the family's 1533-position model. The record is from RNAcentral.